Molecule: ribosomal RNA, 492 nt
Filed under: uncultured bacterium
Lineage: Bacteria
Description: partial 16S ribosomal RNA
Rfam family: Bacterial small subunit ribosomal RNA
Source: RNAcentral
GAUGAACGCUAGCUACAGGCUUAACACAUGCAAGUCGAGGGGAAACGACAUCGAAAGCUUGCUUUUGAUGGGCGUCGACCGGCGCACGGGUGAGUAACGCGUAUCCAACCUGCCCAUCACUUGGGAAUAACCUUGCGAAAGUAAGACUAAUACCCAAUGACAUCCCACGAAGACAUCUGAAUGGGAUUAAAGAUUUAUCGGUGAUGGAUGGGGAUGCGUCUGAUUAGCUUGUUGGCGGGGUAACGGCCCACCAAGGCAACGAUCAGUAGGGGUUCUGAGAGGAAGGUCCCCGGCAUUGGAGCUGAGACACGGUCCAAACGCCUACGGGAGGGAGCAGUGAGGAAGAGGGGGCAAUGGGGGGGAGCCUGGGCCAGCCGAGUAGCGUGCAGGAUGGCGGCGCUAUGGGUUGUAAGCUGCUUUUAGAAGGGAAUAGAGUGGGUCUCGGGGGACUUUUUGCAUGUACCUGAUGAAUAAGGACCGGCUAAUUCCGUG